CGAAAGCCUGACGGAGCAACGCCGCGUGCGGGAAGAAAGCCUUUGGAUUGUAAACCCCUUUUCUCAGGGAAGAAGUUCUGACGGUACCUGAGGAAUCAGCCUCGGCUAACUCCGUGCCAGCAGCCGCGGUAAUACGGAGGAGGCAAGCGUUAUUCGGAAUUAUUGGGCGUAAAGCGUCCGCAGGGGGCGCAUCAAGUCUGCUGUUAAAGGCUGGAGCUCAACUCCGGUUCGGCAGUGGAAACUGGUGGGCUAGAGGGCGACAGGGGUAGAGGGAAUUCCCAGUGUAGCGGUGAAAUGCGUAGAGAUUGGGAAGAACACCGGUGGCGAAAGCGCUCUACUGGGUCGCACCUGACCCUCAGGGACGAAAGCUAAGGUAGCG
This 379-nucleotide ribosomal RNA is filed under the name uncultured cyanobacterium. RNAcentral describes it as "bacterial SSU rRNA". It matches the Rfam family "Bacterial small subunit ribosomal RNA", at positions 376 to 770 of the family's 1533-position model. The record is from RNAcentral. Lineage: Bacteria; Bacillati; Cyanobacteriota.